CAACCCUCAAGCCCCCGGGCUUGGUGUUGGGGAUCGGCGAGCCUCCGCGCCCGCCGUCCCCCCAAAUCUAGUGGCGGUCUCGCUGUAGCUUCCUCUGCGUAGUAGCACACCUCGCACUGGGAAACAGCGCGGCCACGCCGUUAAACCCCCAACUUCUGAAA
This 161-nucleotide unclassified non-coding RNA is filed under the name uncultured Ilyonectria. RNAcentral describes it as "sequence contains ITS2". Lineage: Eukaryota; Fungi; Ascomycota; Sordariomycetes; Hypocreales; Nectriaceae. The record is from RNAcentral.